This 253-nucleotide ribosomal RNA is filed under the name uncultured bacterium. Its description in RNAcentral is "partial 16S ribosomal RNA". It matches the Rfam family "Bacterial small subunit ribosomal RNA", at positions 524 to 776 of the family's 1533-position model. The record is from RNAcentral.
GACAGAGGGUGCAACCGUUGUUCGGAAUUACUGGGCGUAAAGCGUGUGUAGGCGGUCCGCUAAGUCGGGUGUGAAAGCCCUGGGCUCAACCCAGGAAGUGCACUCGAAACUGGCGGGCUAGAGUAUCGGAGAGGUUGGUGGAAUUCUCGGUGUAGAGGUGAAAUGCGCAGAUAUCAGGAAGAACACCCGUGGCGAAGGCGGCUCUCUGGGACGGUACUGACGCUGAGACGCGAAAGCGUGGGGAGCAAACAGG